UGUGUAUCCUGUAAUGCAGUGGUUUUCAACCAGUGUGCCGUGGCACCCUGGGGUGCCUUGAAUGAUGGUCAAGGGUGCCGCGGGCAACACUGGCCUCUGUUCCUCUUUCCUCCCCUCUGAUGCCCUCUCUGUCUCCCAAAGGCUUGCACAGCUGUUUGUUGCAGCAGCCCUGGCUACAAGCUCCCCAGGCAAAGGGUGCCUCUGGGGCUGGCCAGGAGGUGCUUCCCAGGCCCCUGUCUGGCAGUGUGAGGAGGCACCUCUCUUUGGGGCAGUGGGGGGGGGCAGCUUCGACACCAGGGGCAGCAGCAGCGGCUGCCCAGAGGACUCUCAAGGAGAGGGGAGAAAAUAGGAGGCUGAGGGAACACUCCACAUGGGAGGGUGUUCAGAAAGUGUUGAGGGGCUGCUGGCUCUGUAAGCAAGGGGUAACAUAACUGAGCUCCUGAGCCCCACAGGGGUGCCACAGAAAGAGUAUAGUUGGUCAAGGGAGCCAUGGACUCAAAAAGGUUGAAAACCUCUGCUGUAAUGCAUUACUGAGAGUUCAUACCUCAUGUUACGUUUAGUUCAUGUUACGUUCUUUCAGGUUACGUCCCACGGUGUCCCGGAAGUACCGGAAAGGGUUACUUCUGGGUUUCGCUGCUUGCGCAUGCACAGAAGCGCAAAAUGACAUCACGUGCAUGCACAGAAGUGGCGAAUCGCAACCCGCGCGUGCACAGAUGCGCCACUGCAGGUUGCGCUCUUUUCAUGUUGCGAACGGGCCUCCGGAACAGAUCCCAUUCGCAACCAGAGGUACCACUGUAUUGUUGUAAGAUAGGGCUGGACAAGAGUGGGUUAAUGAAGCUGGAGACUGCCUUAACAGCCCUAGGGAAGUAACCAAGGGGGAAAUGUGUUUUGAGUGUGCUUUAAAGGUCUAGUGCAGACACAAUCUUAUUCUCUGCUGUCUUGACAGGCAGGACUAGAUCUAAUAGCUGCAAGUUACAGUGGAGUAAAAUCAUAGACUCAUAGAGUUGGAAGGGACCACGAGGGUCAUCUAGUCCAACCCCCUUCAAUGCAGGAAUGUUUUGCCCAUCGUGGGGCUUGAAGCCAUCGCCCUGAGAUUAAAAGUCUCAUGCUCUACUGAAGUGACUGAGCUGUGAAUAGUAGGAGAAAGAUCCUGACAUCAAACAGACACACACUAAGUUCUGGACCUUUUCAUUUUACUUCCCAUUAGCGCUUGUAGGUUGAAGGUUUGUCGUUGGAUUUUGUUUUCUCUCCGCAGGUUAUGCCUUUAAGCAUGACACCAGGCAUCAGGGAUAAGCGGCACUGCUGGCGAAAAAGGAUGGUGCUGCCACCAUUUUUUCAGAGAUAACACUUGUUCAUUCCAGCUGAUUGCAGAUGGGCCAGAGGACAACACUGGUUCAAAGCUAGAUAAGGUUUUGAGAUACCCAUUGUAAUAGGUGCCGUAUAAAUACCUAAGGCAGAUAGGAAGGCAGGUAAGUUCCUAUGCCGCAAUCUCGCAGUCCCCACCCUCCCCCUUGGGCUCUCUGGCUCCAGGAGCAUUAAGGUGCUGCUCCCUGUAUCUUCCGGGAGCAUUGUCACAUCUCUUACCUGAACAAUCACAAGGUAUCUAGUGUGCAAAUGCUACACCUGUAGUUUAAACAGCGAAACUAUGAGACAGUAAAGGUAUAUUGGCUGCUAGUUGAUUUUAAGACAACUGAUAGUAAACAUAUCUCCCCUCUGUCUCCUUUUGCCUCUCCAGCACCCCUGGGUGUCAGGGGAUGUGUGGGGGAAAGUGGUCCAAAUACAGAAAAUAACAGUUCCCAGAGGGGCAGCCAACACACACAAAAAUUCUUGUGGCAUCUUAAAUGUAUUAUGGCACAAACCUAGGGCAUACUAAAUCCAGGGUGGCACAAGAUGCUUGUUGUUCAUGCAGAAAGCAAAAUUCAACUAAGGAAAUAGCACAACCAUACCCUGCAAAUCUAAUAGAUCAUGACAACAAGCCCUAAACAACCUGCUACAAGAUUGUGGAAUGGGAAAUUUAGUGCAAUGGAAAGGAAUACACUACGGUGCAGUACAGAGGUAGCCGAUGUUGUGCCAUUCAGAGGUUGCUGAACUACAACUCCCAUCAUUCCUGACCAUUGGCCAUGCUCACUGGGAUUGAUGGAAAUUGUAAUCCAGCAACAUCCGAAGGGCAUCACAUUUGCUUCUGCUGGAGUAGUGAAGAGAGUUAGAAUUAGAUGGUGGUAGACUCAGUCUCAGGGAGGCGGGUGGCGCUGUGGUCUAAACCACAGAGCCUAGGGCUUGCCGAUCAGAAGGUUGGUGGUUCGAAUCCCCACGAUGGGGUGAGCUCCCGUUGUUCUGUCGCAUCUCCUGCCCACCUAGGAGUUCGAAAGCAUGUCAAAGUGCAAGUAGAUAAAUAGGUACCACUCUGGUGGGAAGGUAAACGGCGUUUCCGUGCGCUGCUCUGGUUCACCAGAAACGGCUUAGUCAUGCUGGUCACACGACCUGGAAGCUGUCUGCGGACAAACGCCGGCUCCCUUGGCCUAUAGAGCGAGAUGAGCGUGCAACCCCAGAGUCAUCCGCAACUGGACCUAAUGGUCAGGGGUACCUUUACCUUUACCUUUUAGACUCAGUUCCUGUUUAGCUCAGCUAUGAUGUUCACGCGAUGGUCUUCACUCUUGAACAUGCAAAGCUGUCUUAAACUGCAUAUGUUCACUGAUGACUCACCUCACCCAGUGGCUUUGCAGUGCCUCAGACCUUCUACUGAUACCCUUUGAAUCUGAGGUGCCAGGCACAAGAUAUUUUCAGAGACAUUGUGGGUUUACGGCAUGUAAGUUGACUCACUGAGCAACUUGGAAUAAUUGGGUGAACAGGAUUCAGUGCAGUAGAUAUAGGAAGACUUGCAGCAUAAAUAAUAAAGAGGUGUGAUCACAGCAGGAAGUUCCUUCACAACAGAACUUACUGGAAAUUGCUUCCUGGCAGAUGUGGGAUUUAAGUCCCGGUGUCAUGAGCAACAGCUGAGCUAUACCUUGUGCAGAAUAAGAAUAAGGCUGCUGGACUGCAACACUUCAGACUUGAGGGGGUGGUAAAGACUGAGCAUAAGGCUGCUCACCUUAAACUUAAAUCAGCUAGGGUUGCCAUAUGUCCUCUUUUCCCUGGACACAUCCUCUUUUUCAGAAUUAAAAUAUCCGUCCAGGCAGAUUUUUAAAAUUUGGCAAAAUGUCCAGGGAUUUUUGUUUGUUUUAUUACAGUAAUAUUACACAGUAAACAUACUAUAUAAAUCCCUUUUCUUGUGGCUGAACUAAAAGGAUGCUGGCUCAGCUACAAGAUCUUGCAGAAGGAGUUAACUUCCCCCUGCCCUUAAUGAGAGUCCAUAUGUACAUGUUAAACAGUUUAAAUAAUUGUUCUGUGCACACUUAAGUUCACAAAGAUGUGAUCAUGAGCCCAAAUACUUUCAUGUGGCAAGUGAGGGAGCAAUAUGUAUUAUUAUUAUUAUUAUUAUUAUUAUUAUUAUUAUUAUUUGUUAUUGUUGAAAGUUAAGAACAUUGCUACUAGCAAUAUAUCCAUAGCCUACAUAUAGUAAAAGGUAAAGGUAAAGGGACCCCUGACCAUUAGGUCCAGUCAUGACCAACUCUGGGGUUGCGGCGCUCAUCUCGCUUUAUUGGCUGAGGCAGCCGGCGUACAGCUUCUGGGUCAUGUGGCCAGCAUGACUAAGCCGCUUCUGGCGAACCAGAGCAGCGCACGGAAACGCCGUUACCUUCCUGCCGGAGUCGUACCUAUUUAUCUACUUGCACUUUGACGUGCUUUCGAACUGCUAGGUUGGCAGGAGCAGGGACCCCGUCGCAUGGAUUCGAACCACCAACCUUCUGAUUGGCAAGUCCUAGGCUCUGUGGUUGAGAGUCACCAUAGCGACGCAUAGUUAGAAGUAGAAGUCGGCAAAUGAAUUCCUCUUUUUUGUUCUUCAAAAUGUGGUGACCCUAAAUCAGGCCCCCACUCUAAAGUGGGGCACAUCACUUUAGCUGGGCAAUUCGCCACUCCUCCUGGCUUUCCUAAACUAUACCACCCAUUUGUUGUCUGUUUAAAUAUCCCACCUCUUACUUUGGGUAUUGUCAGGGACUAGUCUGAGGAGGAAUGGUGGAGUCUCUCCCCCCCCCCCCCGCCCGGCACUUCCCAGAGAAAAGGGAGCCAGUAUAGAUUUACAACAGUGGUUUGCAGAAGGUCAUAGUCAGAGUCUGCAGAGGGGAGAAGAUGGGAAAUAUUGGGAGAGGAGCAGCAGGGAGAAGAAGCCCGGGGGGGGGGGGCAACUGCUGACAGAUUCAGUGUCUUUAGAAAGCAUACCUGGCACACACCCCCUCGCAGGACCUGGCAGGCAUUGGGAAUGGAAGAACAGAAAGCUCAGAGGCAAGGAAGUACAGAUCAGCCCCUAUUCCAUCUUCAUGUAUGCGACAACGGCCACGAGAGUUCUGGUAGCACAAGGAUGGAAGACUGAAGAAACCCCAACUGAAGAAUCAUGGCAAGAAAACUUGACGGACUAUGCAGAACUGGCAAAACUGACAUAUAAGCUACGGGACAAGGAUAACUGUGACUUUCAGGAUGAAUGGGAACCCUUUACAAAGUAUCUGAAGACACAUCAAAGUGAACUGGACUCCUUGGCAGGUUUUGAAUAAACAUUCACAAACUUUUUAUUGAUAAUAAUCAGCUAAAUAGUUUGAGGAACUAUACGACUUUGUAACAUGCAGAAAACAGCAGUCUCAGAGAAACCAAAGACUGGAACUGAGGGAAGUCGGGG
This is a non-coding RNA of Podarcis lilfordi (Lilford's wall lizard), 4765 nucleotides long. The record is from the annotation of a GenBank genome assembly. NCBI's taxonomy places the organism in Eukaryota, Metazoa, Chordata, Lepidosauria, Squamata, Lacertidae.